GGGGAUUUAGCUCAGCGGCAUAAGUACCUGCCUUGCAAGCAGGUGGUCGUGAGUUCAAUCCCCG
Molecule: transfer RNA, 64 nt
Organism: Cavia porcellus (domestic guinea pig)
Lineage: Eukaryota; Metazoa; Chordata; Mammalia; Rodentia; Caviidae
Rfam family: tRNA
About the family: Transfer RNA (tRNA) molecules are approximately 80 nucleotides in length. Their secondary structure includes four short double-helical elements and three loops (D, anti-codon, and T loops). Further hydrogen bonds mediate the characteristic L-shaped molecular structure. tRNAs have two regions of fundamental functional importance: the anti-codon, which is responsible for specific mRNA codon recognition, and the 3' end, to which the tRNAs corresponding amino acid is attached (by aminoacyl-tRNA synthetases). tRNAs cope with the degeneracy of the genetic code in two manners: having more than one tRNA (with a specific anti-codon) for a particular amino acid; and 'wobble' base-pairing, i.e. permitting non-standard base-pairing at the 3rd anti-codon position.
Source: Rfam